RNAcentral lists this ribosomal RNA (313 nucleotides) under uncultured bacterium. RNAcentral's name for it is "bacterial SSU rRNA". It matches the Rfam family "Bacterial small subunit ribosomal RNA", at positions 767 to 1079 of the family's 1533-position model. The record is from RNAcentral.
AGCUAAUAGAUACCCUGGUAGUCCUGGCAGUAAACGGUGCGCGUUUGGUGUGGGAGGAUUCGACCCCUUCUGUGCCGGAGCUAAACGCGUUAAACGCGCCGCCUGGGGAGUACGGUCGCAAGAUUAAAACUCAAAGAAAUUGACGGGGGUCCCGCACAAGCGGUGGAGUAUGUGGCUUAAUUCGAUGCAACGCGAAGAACCUUACCUAGCCUUGACAUGCAUCUCUAAGUCGGUGAAAGCCGGCGACCAUAGCAAUAUGGAAUUUGCACAGGUGCUGCAUGGCUGUCGUCAGCUCGUGUCGUGAGAUGUUGGG